Molecule: ribosomal RNA, 481 nt
Filed under: uncultured bacterium
Lineage: Bacteria
Description: bacterial SSU rRNA
Rfam family: Bacterial small subunit ribosomal RNA
Source: RNAcentral
GAUGAACGCUGGCGGCGUGCCUAACACAUUCAAGUCGAACGGAGUUAUUACGAAUGAAGUUUCGGAUGGAUUUUGUUUAACUUAGUGGCGAACGGGUGAGUAACACGUGAGCAACCUGCCCUUGAGUGGGGGACAACAGUUGGAAACGACUGCUAAUACCGCAUAAUAUCACGAGGAGGCAUCUCCUUGUGAUCAAAGAUUUAUUGCUUAAGGAUGGGCUCGCGUCCGAUUAGAUAGUUGGUGAGGUAACGGCUCACCAAGUCGACGAUCGGUAGCCGGACUGAGAGGUUGAUCGGCCACAUUGGGACUGAGACACGGCCCAGACUCCUACGGGAGGCAGCAGUGGGGAAUAUUGGGCAAUGGGGGAAACCCUGACCCAGCAACGCCGCGUGAAGGAAGAAGGCUUUCGGGUUGUAAACUUCUUUUACCAGGGACGAAGAACGUGACGGUACCUGGAGAAAAAGCAACGGCUAACUACGUG